This 224-nucleotide ribosomal RNA is filed under the name uncultured bacterium. RNAcentral's name for it is "partial 16S ribosomal RNA". It matches the Rfam family "Bacterial small subunit ribosomal RNA", at positions 524 to 745 of the family's 1533-position model. The record is from RNAcentral.
UACGAAGGGGGGCUAGCGUUGCUCGGAAUGACUGGGCGUAAAGGGCGCGUAGGCGGCUGUGACAGUCAGAUGUGAAAUUCCUGGGCUCAACCUGGGGGCUGCAUUUGAUACGUGAUGGCUGGAGUGGGGAAGAGGGUCGUGGAAUUCCCAGUGUAGAGGUGAAAUGCGUUAGAGAUUAGGAAGAACACCAGUGGCGAAGGCGACUUACUGGACUGUAACUGACG